Molecule: transfer RNA, 38 nt
Filed under: Equus sp.
Lineage: Eukaryota; Metazoa; Chordata; Mammalia; Perissodactyla; Equidae
Description: partial tRNA-Asp
Source: RNAcentral
UNAAAGUUAAAUUAUAGGUUAAACCCCUAUAUACCUCU